This 229-nucleotide unclassified non-coding RNA is filed under the name plant metagenome. Its description in RNAcentral is "partial contains small subunit ribosomal RNA, internal transcribed spacer 1, and 5.8S ribosomal RNA". The record is from RNAcentral.
UCUCCGUAGGUGAACCUGCGGAGGGAUCAUUACAGAGUCCAUGCCCUACCGGGUAGAUCUCCCACCCUAUGUUAUUAUUACUUUGUUGCUUUGGCGGGCCGUUAGGCUCCGGCCCGACUACCGGCCCCGGCUGGUAAGCGCCCGCCAGAGGACCCAAAACCCUGAAUAUCAGUGUCGUCUGAGUACUAUAUAAUAGUUAAAACUUUCAACAACGGAUCUCUUGGUUCUG